Molecule: ribosomal RNA, 376 nt
Filed under: uncultured bacterium
Lineage: Bacteria
Description: bacterial SSU rRNA
Rfam family: Bacterial small subunit ribosomal RNA
Source: RNAcentral
UACGUAGGUGGCAAGCGUUGUCCGGAUUUAUUGGGCGUAAAGCGCGCGCAGGCGGUCUUUUAAGUCUGAUGUGAAAUCUUACAGCUUAACUGUAAGCGGUCAUUGGAAACUGGGAGACUUGAGUGCAGAAGAGGAGAGUGGAAUUCCAUGUGUAGCGGUGAAAUGCGUAGAGAUAUGGAGGAACACCAGUGGCGAAGGCGACUCUCUGGUCUGCAACUGACGCUGAGGCGCGAAAGCGUGGGGAUCAAACAGGAUUAGAUACCCUGGUAGUCCACGCCGUAAACGAUGAGUGCUAGGUGUUAGGGGUUUCGAUACCCUUAGUGCCGCAGUUAACACAUUAAGCACUCCGCCUGGGGAGUACGGCCGCAAGGCUGAA